This 496-nucleotide long non-coding RNA is filed under the name Numida meleagris (helmeted guineafowl). Its description in RNAcentral is "lncRNA (ENSNMEG00000007171.1)". Lineage: Eukaryota; Metazoa; Chordata; Aves; Galliformes; Numididae. The record is from RNAcentral.
AUGAUGAAUGUAUUAGCACAGGUGCAGAUGCUGCGCUUCAGCCUUCCUGCCCAGAAAGGCUAUCUGUCUGAUCUGAAGAAGGAAAGAAGGCUGAAGAUUCAAGGCUGUUCUGUCACCUCAUCCUUCCAUCACCUGCAGUCAGUAAGAUCACAGAAUUAUCACGUAAGAAAAUGAAGACUAAAGUAUCAAGACUGAAAAUGGUGACUAUAACUGCACUAUUAGCACUGUUCCCAAAUACACAGUGCUGUCCUCUAGAGGCCAUGCUUAAUACCAAAUAGCUCACAGUUCAUUAACUAAUAGGUUAAAUCAGGAAUGAAUCUUGUAACAGAGCUGAUUCCAAGAAUGAGUAUGUCCAUGCAUACCUAAAAGAUAGCCCAUAUGGUGAUAACAUCUAAACAAGAGAGCAAGCUGUCCCAUGCUGGCUGUUGAGGAAAAUGUACACAUCUUGUGUGACUACUAGCUCCUGUUUGCAGUUCCGUGCUUUGCUCUGGAUCAG